CCCCUCAUAGCUCAAUGGCAGAGCAGUCGGCUGUAGACCGAUGUGUCCUGGUUCAAGUCCGGGUGAGGGGA
Molecule: transfer RNA, 71 nt
Filed under: Candidatus Woesearchaeota archaeon
Lineage: Archaea; Nanobdellati; Candidatus Woesearchaeota
Description: tRNA-Tyr
Rfam family: tRNA
About the family: Transfer RNA (tRNA) molecules are approximately 80 nucleotides in length. Their secondary structure includes four short double-helical elements and three loops (D, anti-codon, and T loops).
Source: RNAcentral